GAUGAACGCUGGCGGCGUGCCUAAUACAUGCAAGUCGAACGAACAGACGAGGAGCUUGCUCCACUGACGUUAGCGGCGGACGGGUGAGUAACACGUGGAUAACCUACCUAUAAGACUGAGAUAACUUCGGGAAACCGGAGCUCAUACCGGAUAAUCUAUUGACCCGCAUGGUUCAAUAGUGAAAGACGGGUUUGCUGUCACUUAUAGAUGGAUCCGCGCCGCAUUAGCUAGUUGGUAAGGUAACGGCUUACCAAGGCAACGAUGCGUAGCCGACCUGAGAGGGGGAUCGGCGACACUGGAGGUGAGACACGGUCCAGACUCCUACGGGCGGCAGCAGUAGGGAAUCGUGGGCAAUGGGCGAAAGCCUGACGGAGCAACGCCGCGCGAGUGAUGAAGGGCUUCGGAUCGUAAAACUCUGUUAUUAGGGAAGAACAAAUGUGUAAGUAACUAUGCACGUCUUGACGGUACCUAAUCAGAAAGCCACGGCUAACUACGUG
Molecule: ribosomal RNA, 497 nt
Filed under: uncultured bacterium
Lineage: Bacteria
Description: partial 16S ribosomal RNA
Rfam family: Bacterial small subunit ribosomal RNA
Source: RNAcentral